Lipotes vexillifer (Yangtze River dolphin) is the source of this 72-nucleotide non-coding RNA. NCBI's taxonomy places the organism in Eukaryota, Metazoa, Chordata, Mammalia, Artiodactyla, Lipotidae. The record is from the annotation of a RefSeq genome assembly.
UCCCUGGCAGUCCAGUGGUUAGGAUACGGCACUUUCACUGCUGGGGUCCUGGUUCGAUCCCUGGUCGGGGAA